RNAcentral lists this ribosomal RNA (253 nucleotides) under uncultured bacterium. RNAcentral's name for it is "partial 16S ribosomal RNA". It matches the Rfam family "Bacterial small subunit ribosomal RNA", at positions 524 to 776 of the family's 1533-position model. The record is from RNAcentral.
UACGUAGGUGGCGAGCGUUGUCCGGAUUUACUGGGCGUAAAGAGCGCGCAGGCGGUCGUACAAGUCGCGUGUGAAAGCCCCUGGCUCAACUGGGGAGGGUCACGCGAUACUGUUCGACUCGAAGGCAGGAGAGGGAAGUGGAAUUCCCGGUGUAGUGGUGAAAUGCGUAGAUAUCCAGCGGAACACCAGUGGCGAAGGCGGCCUACUGGGCUCCACCUGACACUGAGGCGCGAAAGCGUGGGGAGCGAACCGG